AUCACUUCUCAGCCUUUUGGCUAAGAUCAAUUGUAGUAUCUGUUCUUAUCAGUUUAAUAUAUGAUACAUCCUCUAUCUGAGGACAAUAUAUUAAAUGGAUUUUUGGAGCUUGGAGUUAGAAUAGGAGCUUGCUCCGUCCACUCCACGACCUGGUAUUGCAGUACCUCUAGGAACGGUGCACCCCCU
Small nuclear RNA from Jaculus jaculus (lesser Egyptian jerboa), 186 nucleotides. RefSeq annotates it as U2 spliceosomal RNA. The transcript has a single exon. The record is from RefSeq and is a predicted model, not a curated record. Lineage: Eukaryota; Metazoa; Chordata; Mammalia; Rodentia; Dipodidae.